ACACUACCAUGCCAAGACCACGAAGGUGGUUUUCCCAGGGCAAGGCUGGCCCACUGCACCCAGGGGCCUGCUGACCCCUGCGAUUUCCCACGUGCGGGAAUCUCGACUGCGUAAUGUAAGUUGGUGGGGAGCUGCGUGUGCGCUUUGUCCCGA
Molecule: small nuclear RNA, 153 nt
Filed under: Choloepus hoffmanni (Hoffmann's two-fingered sloth)
Lineage: Eukaryota; Metazoa; Chordata; Mammalia; Pilosa; Megalonychidae
Description: U1 spliceosomal RNA (ENSCHOG00000014734.1)
Rfam family: U1 spliceosomal RNA
About the family: U1 is a small nuclear RNA (snRNA) component of the spliceosome (involved in pre-mRNA splicing). Its 5' end forms complementary base pairs with the 5' splice junction, thus defining the 5' donor site of an intron.
Source: RNAcentral